RNAcentral lists this ribosomal RNA (207 nucleotides) under uncultured bacterium. RNAcentral's name for it is "partial 16S ribosomal RNA". It matches the Rfam family "Bacterial small subunit ribosomal RNA", at positions 568 to 774 of the family's 1533-position model. The record is from RNAcentral.
CGCGUAGGCGGUCGUGUGCGUCAGAGGUGAAAUCCCCGGGCUUAACCCGGGAGCUGCCUCUGAUACGGCAUGGCUUGAGUCCGGGAGAGGGGAGCAGAAUUCCCAGUGUAGCGGUGAAAUGCGUAGAUAUUGGGAGGAAUACCGGUGGCGAAGGCGGCUCCCUGGACCGGUACUGACGCUGAGGCGCGAAAGCGUGGGUAGCAAACA